Molecule: small RNA, 82 nt
Filed under: Bacteroides salyersiae
Lineage: Bacteria; Pseudomonadati; Bacteroidota; Bacteroidia; Bacteroidales; Bacteroidaceae
Description: Bacteroides-1 RNA
Rfam family: Bacteroides-1 RNA
Source: RNAcentral
UGCAAAUCGGCCUGAAACUUUUUUUAUGUGUAUGCGAAUAUCCAUGGAAAGUACAUAUGCCUCUCGGCAUAGACAGGUAAGA